This 126-nucleotide transfer RNA is filed under the name Microscilla marina ATCC 23134. It matches the Rfam family "tRNA". From Rfam's summary of the family: Transfer RNA (tRNA) molecules are approximately 80 nucleotides in length. Their secondary structure includes four short double-helical elements and three loops (D, anti-codon, and T loops). Further hydrogen bonds mediate the characteristic L-shaped molecular structure. tRNAs have two regions of fundamental functional importance: the anti-codon, which is responsible for specific mRNA codon recognition, and the 3' end, to which the tRNAs corresponding amino acid is attached (by aminoacyl-tRNA synthetases). tRNAs cope with the degeneracy of the genetic code in two manners: having more than one tRNA (with a specific anti-codon) for a particular amino acid; and 'wobble' base-pairing, i.e. permitting non-standard base-pairing at the 3rd anti-codon position. The record is from Rfam by way of RNAcentral. Lineage: Bacteria; Pseudomonadati; Bacteroidota; Cytophagia; Cytophagales; Microscillaceae.
GAAGCAGUAGCUCAGUCUGGUUAGAGCGCCAACUUUGUUAGUUUUGGCAUUACCCGCAAGGGUCAAUUAAAACUUACUUCAACUUUUGGGAGUUGGAGGUCGUGGGUUCAAAUCCCACCUGCUUCG